UGGGGAAUAUUGCACAAAUGGGGGGAAACCCUGAUGCAGCGACGCCGCGUGAAGGAAGAAGUAUCUCGGUAUGUAAACUUCUAUCAGCAGGGAAGAUAGUGACGGUACCUGACUAAGAAGCCCCGGCUAACUACGUGCC
This 139-nucleotide ribosomal RNA is filed under the name uncultured bacterium. Its description in RNAcentral is "partial 16S ribosomal RNA". It matches the Rfam family "Bacterial small subunit ribosomal RNA", at positions 355 to 509 of the family's 1533-position model. The record is from RNAcentral.